Mus musculus (house mouse) is the source of this 219-nucleotide long non-coding RNA. RefSeq annotates it as predicted gene, 57748. The transcript has 2 exons. The record is from RefSeq and is a predicted model, not a curated record. NCBI's taxonomy places the organism in Eukaryota, Metazoa, Chordata, Mammalia, Rodentia, Muridae.
UUCUAGAAAUCUAUAAUUUCAAGCACUGAAAAUAAUAGAAUGUGGUAUAUUAGUUCAAACCAAAAUUUCGUGGACACAGUUUCAGAAGAGUUCCUUUCAGAGACCCUACAAGUCAUGAUGCCAACUGGUCCAACAUUUGCAGAUGUCCUGAAACACAACAUAACAAAAGGAGUUGCAUUAUUUAUGAAUGACCAGUAAAGCACCAAGAUUUUCCCUUAA